Non-coding RNA from Parasteatoda tepidariorum (common house spider), 286 nucleotides. The record is from RefSeq and is a predicted model, not a curated record. NCBI's taxonomy places the organism in Eukaryota, Metazoa, Arthropoda, Arachnida, Araneae, Theridiidae.
ACUUAUUAUUUUGUUUGCAUUUUACAGGACAUAUCUUUAUGAAAAGGAAGAUUUAUGGAAAAGUGUUCCGUGUUACAUCAUAGUCCUGGUUCUUGUCUUUAUGAUGAGGAAGAUUUAGGCAUGAUAGUCUUCGUGAUGAGGAUGGCAUAUAAUUGGCAGGUUUUUGGUGAUGCACCAUAGUUCUGGACAGGAUGUUGUCUUUAUGAUGAAGAAUAGUAUUAUGUGAUUCAUCAUAGCUCUGCUUUCGAAAACUAUAGGGUUAAGAAAUCCAACGAAGAGUCGGCGU